GGGUGUGUGUGGUUGGAGGGAAUACAAGUAUAUUCCCAAGAAUUUUGAGAUGGGAAUAUCUUAUUCCCAUGUUUGGUUCAAGAUUUAAAAAAUUAUUCUUGGGUAUGUUUUAUUCCCUGGAAUCAAAAUCCAACCCAUUUCAUUCCCAUCUCCCCCCUGGUUAUCUUUAAUUCCAAUGGGAAUGGAAUGUGUAUAAUAAAGUGAAAAGACCAAAAUACCCUUGUUAAUUUCACUCCAACCUUUCUUUUCAGAUUUUUACUCCUCAUUUGAUCAAAAACCCAAACCCUAGCAGAGCCCCUCUCCCAUCGAAACUAAAACCUAGCCGAGCUUCUUCCCCAAAUUCACGGAGGCUCCACCGGCGUCAGCACCGUCUCGCCGCCGAUUUGAGUUUGCACGACCACCCCUCACCUUAUUUUAGAAGAAAAUUCACUUCAAUCGUUCGUUUGCGUUCGUGUUCCAUCAUCGCAGCUCGGUUCACCGCGACUGUAUGCUUGCCGUCGUCGCUGCCGCGCCUCUAACCAAAUCCUCUGCGUCGCGUGCUCGCGUUUGGUCUCUCUCCUCUGUCACUCUCUUGCUUGGCGUUGAGUUCGCCGUCGACGAGGAAGCUUUGCCACCGUUUCUCCAGUGCUUCGCAUACGGAGAUACUAAAUAAGAGCAAAUUUGUUGCUAUUGAUGCUGGAAACAGGGGCUACCCUCCGAAUAAGGUAUGUAAGUUAAUGAUUGCGAUGUUUUUGACACCAAAUUUCUGAUGAUUUGAUGAUGACACUGAUCUGAGGUAAUUAACAUCGUUGUUAAGUUUGCAUAAGGUCACAAGUUGAAAAGUUAUUUUCCACAGUGAGUGCUUUUGAGUUUGUGGUGUUUGAAAUUUAAGGGGAGAAAAUGAAGGUUAGAUGGUGAAUUGGUGAUUGAGUUUUGGAGCACAUAACCUAGUCAUGUGUUUGCUGUUUUU
Arachis ipaensis is the source of this 949-nucleotide non-coding RNA. The record is from RefSeq and is a predicted model, not a curated record. Lineage: Eukaryota; Viridiplantae; Streptophyta; Magnoliopsida; Fabales; Fabaceae.